UACGUAGGGGGCGAGCGUUGUCCGGAUUCAUUGGGCGUAAAGAGCUCGUAGGCGGUUCAGUAAGUCGGGUGUGAAAUCUCCGUGCUCAACACGGAGCGGCCACCUGAUACCGCUGUGACUCGAGUCCGGUAGGGGAGUGUGGAAUUCCCGGUGUAGCGGUGAAAUGCGUAGAUAUCAAGAGGAACACCUGAGGUGAAGACGGGUUGCUGGGCCGACACUGACGCUGAGUGCGCGAAAGCCAGGGGAGCAAACGGG
RNAcentral lists this ribosomal RNA (255 nucleotides) under uncultured bacterium. RNAcentral's name for it is "partial 16S ribosomal RNA". It matches the Rfam family "Bacterial small subunit ribosomal RNA", at positions 524 to 776 of the family's 1533-position model. The record is from RNAcentral.